This 359-nucleotide ribosomal RNA is filed under the name uncultured eukaryote. RNAcentral's name for it is "SSU rRNA". It matches the Rfam family "Eukaryotic small subunit ribosomal RNA", at positions 68 to 426 of the family's 1831-position model. The record is from RNAcentral.
AGCUUCCAUACGGCGAAACUGCGAAUGGCUCAUUAAAACAGUUAUAGUUUAUUUGAUGGUCUUUCAUUACAUGGAUAACUGUGGUAAUUCUAGAGCUAAUACAUGCGCUGAAGCCCAACUUCGUGGACGGGCUGUGUUUAUUAGAUACAGAACUAACCCAGGCUCUGCCUGGCCUCUUGGUGAUUCAUAAUAACCGAACGGAUCGCACGGCUCCAGCUGGCGAUGAAUCAUUCAAGUUUCUGACCUAUCAGCUUCCGACGGUAGGGUAUUGGCCUACCGUGGCAAUGACGGGUAACGGAGAAUUAGGGUUCGAUUCCGGAGAGGGAGCCUGAGAAACGGGUACCACAUCUAAGGAAGGC